GACUGGCAGACAUAAAGAGUUUUAGGACGAAGCAAGUCUUUCUCCAAAUGGCAGUCAGCGAGUAGUGGAGUGCCACAGAAACCAGUGCUCAGGCCCCAGCCAAACAAGUGUGAACAGGAAAGCUUGGAAGAAGAGCUGAUUCCAAAAAGAAAUGAUUGAGAACAAUGAAAAAAUGUAACUUGUGGACAUUAACACAACACAUUAUGUUGACAAUCUUCUCAAAAUGCUCACAAAUGAGCAUUUUUCACGAGUGCAACGUCUGAAAUGCGGGAGGGUGAGGAAGCAAAUAGGCUACUCACCAUCUGAGAUUGAUUCUUCGGACAGCCAUUGAUGUCUUCAAUCUUUUCAUGUGCUGAAAAAUGAAGGAAGUGGUGUGUUUAAGUUUCUCAGCUUAUUGAACAGAACAGCUCGUCGCAAGUAAGGCAAGUCAUCAGCAAACAACCUCACCAAAGCAGAGAUACACUCAUCAGGAUUCUGUAGGGUUUUCAGCUGGGUGGCAUCUACCCAACCCACAGCAGCUGAGGAGCAAGGUCAUCUCCUAAAAGCAGACAACUGUACAACAGCUCUAUUUAACCCCUUCCACACGGGUUUCCCUUUGGUCUCCAUCAAAAGUCUGCAUGCACAAGCCUCAUCGGUGGUGGGUCAAGUACGCCACACUGUCAUGGGCAGGAUUAGGUUUCAUGAUUACUCCAGACACUAAAAAAAAGACAGGGAUAGCACAGAUGGAAACUGCAUGAAGCCUCCUCGGCAAGUGCAUUUAGCUGCAGAAGUUCAAACACUUUGUUUACCUCUCACCUCUGAACUGAUUUCUCCUGGCCCCACCUGCUGCCAGUUGUUCUAGCAUGACAAUGACCAACUAAAAGACCCUACUGUGCCAUCCCAUGCCACCCUGUGUGGACAUUCCCCCACAUCUGACACAGCAGUCGUGUUGUUAGUGUACAAUACUGCUCAAACGUGCACAAGUGUAGCAGCAGCAGGCCAUUCAGCCCCUCGAUCUUACUUCAUCGUUCACAGGAUCAAAGCUGAUCUGAGUAUGACCAUAAAUCCAAAUUCCUGUAAAUCUUUUACCUUCUUACACAUCAAGAAUGUAUUCACCUCUGCCUUAAAACUAUUCAAAGACUCUGUUUCAACUGCCUUUUCAGGAAGGAAAUCAAAGGUUAUGGGAAAUGGCAGGAAAAUGGAGUUGAAAAUGAUCAGAUCAGCCAUGAUCUUAUUGAAUGGGAUAGCAGACUCAAUGGGCUGAAUGACCUACCUCAGCUCCUAUGUCUCAUAGUUUAUUAAGUUUUUUUUUUAUUUGGAAUACCGACUGUUGGUUGGAAUGCAGGCAGAAUUCCCCUGCUCUUCUCAAAUGCCGUCCCCAGGGACCUUUUAAUUCCCCGGACAUGGAAGUUCAGGUUUAGCAUCUCAUGCAAAAGACUGCAUUUCUGAGCCCCAACAUCUUCUCCCUAUCCAUAGGCUUCACAGAGGGUUCAGAAGAGAUUUAUUAGAAUGGGCUGCCACAGUAGGAUCUUUUAGUUGGUCAUUGACACACUUGAACAACUGGCAGGAGGUGGAGCAGGAACAACAGAAGCUCUUAAGAGCCGAGGAGAUUUGAUGGAAUAUAAAACAAUGAAAGGUUUAACAAGAAUAAGCAAAAACUGUUUCCAGUGGCUGAUAAUCAGAUGACCCAGAUUGAAAGAUACUAGCACAAUCAGGAAGGAAAGAAAUAGCCAGGGUAGGACUGACUGUGGUGUUAAUCAAUUUGAUCUUUGAAAGGACUGAUACUGACUCAAUGGGCUGAAUGGCCUCCUUCUGUGCUACACCGUUCUAUGGGAAUCUGAAACACAUUGCAGAAACUGUUGAGGAUUAAAAGGGGGGUGGGUCUGGGGAUAGAGAGAGAGGAAAACUUCAAUGCCCAUGAUUCCUCUCCCUGGCUCUGCCGAUCAGACACUUAAAUGGUAAACUGGUGGGCUUCUCAGCCAAUCAGGGAUGUCCUGCCCCACUUGGAGCUCUGCCAAUCAGAGGCCAGAGUGAGUAACAGGGACUAGUCAGAGGCCCAGGCUACUGGCUGAAGCAUCACUGAAGGCUAGGCCCAGCAGAAAGGUUUAUAAGGGGAAAUCAUAGGCUGGGGCUGAGCAGGAAAUGGUGUCUGGGGCAAGGGUAGGAGAUUGGCUUUCAGGGGAGGAGAUGGCUUCAUGUUAUUGAGCGAGUAAUCCAGAAACUGAGGUAAUGUUCUGAGGGCUCAGAUUCAAAUCCAUGGUAGAUGGUGGAAUUUGAAUUCAAUAAAAAUCUGGAAUUAAGAACCUAAU
Molecule: long non-coding RNA, 2288 nt
Organism: Hemiscyllium ocellatum (epaulette shark)
Lineage: Eukaryota; Metazoa; Chordata; Chondrichthyes; Orectolobiformes; Hemiscylliidae
Exons: 3
Source: RefSeq, a predicted model, not a curated record